RNAcentral lists this ribosomal RNA (253 nucleotides) under uncultured bacterium. RNAcentral describes it as "partial 16S ribosomal RNA". It matches the Rfam family "Bacterial small subunit ribosomal RNA", at positions 524 to 776 of the family's 1533-position model. The record is from RNAcentral.
UACAGAGAUCUCAAGCGUUGUUCGGAUUCAUUGGGCGUAAAGGGUGCGUAGGCGGCGCGGUAAGUCGGGUGUGAAAUUUCGAGGCUUAACUUCGAAACUGCAUUCGAUACUGCCGUGCUUGAGGACUGGAGAGGAGACUGGAAUUUACGGUGUAGCGGUGAAAUGCGUAGAUAUCGUAAGGAAGACCAGUGGCGAAGGCGGGUCUCUGGACAGUUCCUGACGCUGAGGCACGAAGGCCAGGGGAGCAAACGGG